GACGAACGCUGGCGGCGUGCUUAACACAUGCAAGUCGAACGGAAAGGCCCUGCUUUUGUGGGGUGCUCGAGUGGCGAACGGGUGUGUCACACGGGAGUAACCUGCCCUUGACUUUGGUAUAACUUCAGGACACUGGGGCUAAUCCCGGAUAGGAGCUCCUGCUGCAUGGUGGGGGUUGGAAAGUUUCGGCGGGUGGGGAUGGACUCGCGGCUUAUCAGCUUGUUGGGGGGGUAGUGGCUUACCAAGGCUUUGACGGGUAGCCGGCCUGGGAGGGUGACCGGCCACAUUGGGACUGAGAUACGGCCCAGACUCCUACGGGAGGCAGCAGUGGGGAAUAUUGAACAAUGGGCGGAAGCCUGAUGCAGGAACGCGGCGUGCGGGAUGACGGCCUUCGGGUUGUAAACCGCUUUCGCCGGUGACGAAGCGUGAGUGACGGUAAUGGGUAAAGAAGCACCGGCUAACUACGUG
RNAcentral lists this ribosomal RNA (468 nucleotides) under uncultured bacterium. Its description in RNAcentral is "partial 16S ribosomal RNA". It matches the Rfam family "Bacterial small subunit ribosomal RNA", at positions 28 to 507 of the family's 1533-position model. The record is from RNAcentral.